This 93-nucleotide microRNA precursor is filed under the name Canis lupus familiaris (dog). Its description in RNAcentral is "mir-8799 microRNA precursor family". It matches the Rfam family "mir-8799 microRNA precursor family". Lineage: Eukaryota; Metazoa; Chordata; Mammalia; Carnivora; Canidae. The record is from Rfam by way of RNAcentral. RNAcentral also lists the same sequence under 1 other name.
AGGGGGGUGCUGGAUCCUGGGCUAUGUCCCCUGGCACCUUGGGCUUCAGGGCCUGAGCUGCUGGAAUCGCACUCCUGGGCCGUGCAGCCCCCU